UACGGGGGGGGCAAGCGUUGUUCGGAAUUACUGGGCGUAGAGGGCUCGUAGGUGGCCAACUAAGUCGGACGUGAAAUCCCUCAGCUUAACUGGGGAACUGCGUCCGAUACUGGAUGGCUCGAGUUUGGGAGAGGGAUGCGGAAUUCCAGGUGUAGCGGUGAAAUGCGUAGAUAUCUGGAGGAACACCGGUGGCGAAGGCGGCAUCCUGGACCAACACUGACACUGAGGAGCGAAAGCCAGGGGAGCAAACGGG
RNAcentral lists this ribosomal RNA (253 nucleotides) under uncultured bacterium. RNAcentral's name for it is "partial 16S ribosomal RNA". It matches the Rfam family "Bacterial small subunit ribosomal RNA", at positions 524 to 776 of the family's 1533-position model. The record is from RNAcentral.